RNAcentral lists this ribosomal RNA (481 nucleotides) under uncultured bacterium. RNAcentral describes it as "partial 16S ribosomal RNA". It matches the Rfam family "Bacterial small subunit ribosomal RNA", at positions 28 to 523 of the family's 1533-position model. The record is from RNAcentral.
GACGAACGCUGGCGGCGUGCUUAACACAUGCAAGUCGAACGCUGAAGCCCUUUCGGGGGUGGAUGAGUGGCGAACGGGUGAGUAACACGUGGGUAAUCUGCCCUGCACUCUGGGAUAAGCCUUGGAAACGGGGUCUAAUACCGGAUAGGACACAUCGCCGCAUGGUGUGUGUGUGGAAAGUUCCGGCGGUGCAGGUUGAGCCCGCGGCCUAUCAGCUUGUUGGUGGGGUGAUGGCCUACCAAGGCGACGACGGGUAGCCGGCCUGAGAGGGUGACCGGCCACACUGGGACUGAGACACGGCCCAGACUCCUACGGGAGGCAGCAGUGGGGAAUCUUGCGCAAUGGGCGAAAGCCUGACGCAGCAACGCCGCGUGGGGGAUGACGGCCUUCGGGUUGUAAACCUCUUUCGACCGGGACGAAGGGUGACUGACGGUACCGGUAGAAGAAGCACCGGCUAACUACGUGCCAGCAGCCGCCGCAG